UACGUAGGGGGCAAGCGUUGUCCGGAUUUAUUGGGCGUAAAGAGCGUGUAGGCGGCCAUACAGGUCCGUUGUGAAAACUGGAGGCUUAACCUCCAGACGUCGAUGGAAACCGUAUGGCUAGAGUCCGGAAGAGGAGAGUGGAAUUCCUGGUGUAGCGGUGAAAUGCGCAGAUAUCAGGAAGAACACCCGUGGCGAAGGCGGCUCUCUGGGCAGUAACUGACGCUGAGGAGCGAAAGCGUGGGGAGCGAACAGG
Molecule: ribosomal RNA, 253 nt
Filed under: uncultured bacterium
Lineage: Bacteria
Description: partial 16S ribosomal RNA
Rfam family: Bacterial small subunit ribosomal RNA
Source: RNAcentral